RNAcentral lists this ribosomal RNA (468 nucleotides) under uncultured bacterium. RNAcentral's name for it is "partial 16S ribosomal RNA". It matches the Rfam family "Bacterial small subunit ribosomal RNA", at positions 28 to 507 of the family's 1533-position model. The record is from RNAcentral.
GACGAACGCUGGCGGCGUGCUUAACACAUGCAAGUCGAACGGAAAGGCCCUGCUUUUGUGGGGUGCUCGAGUGGCGAACGGGUGAGUAACACGUGAGUAACCUGCCCUUGACUUUGGGAUAACUUCAGGAAACUGGGGCUAAUACCGGAUAGGAGCUCCUGCUGCAUGGUGGUGGUUGGAAAGUUUCGGCGGUUGGGGAUGGACUCGCGGCUUAUCAGCUUGUUGGUGGGGUAGUGGCUUACCAAGGCUUUGACGGGUAGCCGGCCUGAGAGGGUGAACGGCCACAUGGGGACUGCGAUACGGACCAGAAUGCUACGGGAGGCAGCGGUGGGGAAUAUUGCACAAUGGGUGGAAGCCUGAUGCAGAAAUGCCGCGUGCGGGAUGACGGCCUUCGGGUUGUAAACAGAUUUCGCCUGUGACGAAGCGUGAGUGACGGUAAUGGGUAAAGAAGCAACGGCUAACUACGUG